UAACACGUAAGGGGCGAGCGUUGUUCGGAUUUAUUGGGCGUAAAGGGCGCGUAGGCGGUAGUGCAAGUCCGGUGUGAAGUCCCCCGGCUCAACCGGGGAGAUGCGCUGGAAACUGUGCUGCUAGAGUCUAGGAGGGGAAGCUGGAAUUCCUGGUGUAGGGGUGAAAUCUGUAGAGAUCAGGAAGAACACCGGAGGCGAAGGCGAGCUUCUGGCCAUAGACUGACGCUGAGGCGCGAAAGCGUGGGGAGCAAACAGGAUUAGAUACCCUGGUAGUCCACGCUGUAAACGAUGUGCACUAGGUGUCGGGGGUAUGAACUCUCGGUGCCGGAGCUAACGCGUUAAGUGCACCGCCUGGGGAGUAUGCUCGCAAGGGUG
RNAcentral lists this ribosomal RNA (375 nucleotides) under uncultured Spirochaetota bacterium. RNAcentral's name for it is "bacterial SSU rRNA". It matches the Rfam family "Bacterial small subunit ribosomal RNA", at positions 521 to 896 of the family's 1533-position model. The record is from RNAcentral. Lineage: Bacteria; Pseudomonadati; Spirochaetota.